CCUACGGGCGGCAGCAGUGGGGAAUAUUGGACAAUGGGGGCAACCCUGAUCCAGCCAUGCCGCGUGUGUGAAGAAGGCCCUCGGGUUGUAAAGCACUUACAGUGAGGAAGAACGCCUGGUGGUUAAUACCCAUCAGGAAAGACAUCACUCACAGAAGAAGCACCGGCUAACUCCGUGCCAGCAGCCGCGGUAAUACGGAGGGUGCGAGCGUUAAUCGGAAUUACUGGGCGUAAAGCGCGCGUAGGUGGCUUGAUAAGCCGGUUGUGAAAGCCCCGGGCUCAACCUGGGAACGGCAUCCGGAACUGUCAAGCUAGAGUGCAGGAGAGGAAGGUAGAAUUCCCGGUGUAGCGGUGAAAUGCGUAGAGAUCGGGAGGAAUACCAGUGGCGAAGGCGGCCUUCUGGACUGACACUGACACUGAGGUGCGAAAGCGUGGGUAGCAAACAGGAUUAGAUACCCUAGUAGUC
This 465-nucleotide ribosomal RNA is filed under the name Vreelandella stevensii. RNAcentral describes it as "partial 16S ribosomal RNA". It matches the Rfam family "Bacterial small subunit ribosomal RNA", at positions 338 to 795 of the family's 1533-position model. Lineage: Bacteria; Pseudomonadati; Pseudomonadota; Gammaproteobacteria; Oceanospirillales; Halomonadaceae. The record is from RNAcentral.